Molecule: ribosomal RNA, 455 nt
Filed under: Staphylococcus aureus
Lineage: Bacteria; Bacillati; Bacillota; Bacilli; Caryophanales; Staphylococcaceae
Description: bacterial SSU rRNA
Rfam family: Bacterial small subunit ribosomal RNA
Source: RNAcentral
UUUAUGGAGAGUUUGAUCCUGGCUCAGGAUGAACGCUGGCGGCGUGCCUAAUACAUGCAAGUCGAGCGAACGGACGAGAAGCUUGCUUCUCUGAUGUUAGCGGCGGACGGGUGAGUAACACGUGGAUAACCUACCUAUAAGACUGGGAUAACUUCGGGAAACCGGAGCUAAUACCGGAUAAUAUUUUGAACCGCAUGGUUCAAAAGUGAAAGACGGUCUUACUGUCACUUAUAGAUGGAUCCGCGCUGCAUUAGCUAGUUGGUAAGGUAACGGCUUACCAAGGCAACGAUGCAUAGCCGACCUGAGAGGGUGAUCGGCCACACUGGAACUGAGACACGGUCCAGACUCCUACGGGAGGCAGCAGUAGGGAAUCUUCCGCAAUGGGCGAAAGCCUGACGGAGCAACGCCGCGUGAGUGAUGAAGGUCUUCGGAUCGUAAAACUCUGUUAUUAGGGA